AAUGAAUUGCCUGAUAAAAGGGUUACCUUGAUAGGGUAAAUUAUAUAAUUUAUAGUUUUAUAUUCAUUA
RNAcentral lists this transfer RNA (69 nucleotides) under Potthastia sp. XL1561. RNAcentral describes it as "tRNA-Ile". Lineage: Eukaryota; Metazoa; Arthropoda; Insecta; Diptera; Chironomidae. The record is from RNAcentral.